Papaver somniferum (opium poppy) is the source of this 864-nucleotide long non-coding RNA. RefSeq lists it as uncharacterized. NCBI's taxonomy places the organism in Eukaryota, Viridiplantae, Streptophyta, Magnoliopsida, Ranunculales, Papaveraceae. The record is from RefSeq and is a predicted model, not a curated record. The transcript is spliced from 7 exons.
GUUGCUUUCAGGUUGCCGUGAAGAAGAAAGUGGAGAUGAUAUUGACUGCAUUGUAAUCAAUUCCUUCUUUUGUCCAUUGACCACGACACGACAAGAUCUUUCGAUUCUAAGGUAAGAUGGACAGGUCUCUUGGAAAUCUCGGAACCUUUUCUACAAUAAAAGCUGCUAUUAAGAAAUAUGUGCUUCUUCUGUGUAGACAUAUUUCUAAAAUUCAUGAAUCCAGGAGGACUUACAAGUUGAUUUAGGCAUACUUAGGGAUCUUCGAUCUAAACUGGAGGAAUUCUUCAAUGCACAAAUGGUUUACUUGUGCGGAUAGAAUAGAAAUCAUGAUGCUCGGUAAGCUUCACAGUUUCUUAAACAAAGAGAUUCCAGAAAACAUGAUUGCGAGGAUUUCACAUGGCUACAUAAAGUUCCCAAUUCUCAAAGGCUGUGGCUCAUGAAAACAUGACUGCGAGGCAACGACAAUUAAGAAAAAGGAAUUUAGGAAGACUGGUGGAGAUGAGGAACGAAUGGCAGCCAUUGCAGCUUACAUGAAGCUUAAUUGGCAGGGCCUUCAGAAGAAGGUUGUCUUUGUUACUGUUAUUACAGAUCUCAACACCUUCCAUCGCACAUGGUUCAACACUGGUGUCAACCAAUGCUACUGCCCUUCGGACGAGGUUGCCAAGAGGGCGUUGGUUGAUGGCCUAGAGUCUUCCCAGAUUCGCGUGUUUGGUUUGCCCGUCAGGCCCUCGUUUUUUCGGCUGUAAAGAAAACUGCAAGAGCUCUCGGAGAAGCACUAUUCAGUGCAGAACUUGGUAAACCAAUUGGACAGAUCACCAUGGAAAGUCCAGUAAAGGUAAUAGAUCAGAUGAUUCGAGACCCAAA